GAUUUCAUAGAGUACGUUUCUCGUAUAUGUGCAGGAAUCGGCCUGCAUGUCUCUACCCGAUCACCGGAAUGAUCGGACUACGGGAUGACGGCGAAAUUUA
RNAcentral lists this non-coding RNA (100 nucleotides) under Paenibacillus sp. RNAcentral's name for it is "Guanine sequence". It matches the Rfam family "Purine riboswitch aptamer". From Rfam's summary of the family: Riboswitches are metabolite binding domains within certain messenger RNAs that serve as precision sensors for their corresponding targets. The record is from RNAcentral. Lineage: Bacteria; Bacillati; Bacillota; Bacilli; Caryophanales; Paenibacillaceae.